RNAcentral lists this long non-coding RNA (759 nucleotides) under Malus domestica (apple). RNAcentral's name for it is "long non-coding RNA (MDOM_LNC020179)". Lineage: Eukaryota; Viridiplantae; Streptophyta; Magnoliopsida; Rosales; Rosaceae. The record is from RNAcentral.
CAAUUAGUCUGUCCUAAUAAAUGAAUAUUAAACUUGUUAUUCAUGAGCUUUGAACUUAAAAUCUCUCACUUACAACUUGAAUAAAUAUAACAUUAAACUGUAAAAUUGGGUGACUUAUAAUAUCCUCUACUUAACUUUGGCAAAGAUAAUCUCUUCUCCAAAGUUCAGUAUUUUGUCUGUGCGCUUGCAUUUUCUAAUAGUUGGGUGUGUUUUGGAAUUGGGAUUUUAGUUUGUUUAUAUAAUCUUUGGCUCAAAUUGUGUGAUCAAUUUUCUUCCUUAAAAUUUUGGAAUCAGUUUAUUUCUCUUCGAAUAUGUAUUAUUUUUUUAUGCAACAUAGAUACAUUUUUAUUUCUUUAUGCAACAUAGAUACCUUUUGGUUUGUCGAUGAGGCAUUUUGAAUGCUUAUUAGCUAUUUACUAAAGGUGGUUUUAUAGGAACUGCUUAGGAAGAGAAGAAGUUUCAAUCCUACAGCAACGUGCGGGCACAAAUUUUUAGUUUUUUUUUUUUGGGGGGUGGGGGGGAUGGGGGUUUAAAUUAAGUCACAAUUAGUCUGUCUUAAAAUGAAUUUUGAACUUGUUAUUCAUAAAUAUUUGAACUUAAAAUAUCUUACUUACAAUUGAAAGAAAAAUAGCACUAUACCAUAAAAUUGAGUGACGUAUAAUAUCCUCCGCUUAACAAAGAUAAAUGGGACAUGUGAGAGUUAGGAACAGCAAAAUUGUGGUCCUGAAUCAAAUGCUGGCAACUUGGCAUAAAGAUUGA